RNAcentral lists this ribosomal RNA (253 nucleotides) under uncultured bacterium. RNAcentral's name for it is "partial 16S ribosomal RNA". It matches the Rfam family "Bacterial small subunit ribosomal RNA", at positions 524 to 776 of the family's 1533-position model. The record is from RNAcentral.
UACGUAGGGUGCGAGCGUUGUCCGGAAUUAUUGGGCGUAAAGAGCUCGUAGGUGGCGGGUCACGUCGGGUGUGAAAGCCCGGGGCUUAACUCCGGGUCUGCAUUCGAUACGGGUCUGCUGGGGUCCGGCAGGGGAGACUGGAAUUCCUGGUGUAGCGGUGAAAUGCGCAGAUAUCAGGAGGAACACCUAUUGCGAAGGCAGCUCGCUGGGACGUUACUGACGCUGAGACGCGAAAGCGUGGGGAGCGAACAGG